GGAUUCUAAGUGUAUCGAUGCUCCUUUUAGUGUUGUCCUUGGCUAUUAUACCUGUUGUAUCAGUUGCUGUGUGCAAAUUUGGGCAUUAUCUUCGUGAACUUUUACAUAAAACUCAAGCUGCUGCUGCAGUAGCUUCCUCAAUAGCAGAGGGGCUGGAAUAUUUACUGGGGUUACAGUAGCACUAUAUCCUGUGUCUCAUGUAAAGGCCAGGCUGCAAGUUGCUUCAUAAGAUGCUGUUGACAGGAAUGCAUUUGCUGUUAUAAAAGGCAUAUUAAGAACAGACGGAAUUCCUGGGUUAUACAGAGGUAUUGGUACAGUUAUCACUGGUGCAAUUCCUGCCAGGAUUAUGUUUCUUACUGCUUUGGAGACCACAAAAGUGGCUGCUCUAAAGUUCGUUGAACCACUCAAGUUAUCAGAACCUACAGAGGCAGCAAUAGCAAAUGGCAUUGCUGGCAUGGCGGCAUCUCUUUGUUCUCAGGCUGUGUUUGUUCCAAUUGACGUGUUAUGUUAACAAUGUUAAUCUUUUCCUUGAAAUGGUUAUUCUUUUUCUGGAUUUUGAGUCAUUGGGCGCUUUUUAUUUAGGUUUUGGUGUAUUAUUCUUUGUGAUUGAGAACACAUGCAGAGAUCUAUUUUAAUGUUCCAUAACCUCCGUGGCAAUCAGGUUAGCCAAAGAUUGAUGGUGCAAGGAUACUCUUGUCAUGCGACCUACAAUGGUGGACUGGAUGUUGUUCAAAAGGUCUUGAAGUUGGAUGGCGUUCAAGGACUCUAUAGGGGAUUUGGUUUGUCAGUCAUGACUUAUUCCCCAUCUAGUGCUGUAUGGUGGACAAGUUAUGGUUCAAGCCAACGCCUAAUCUGGAGAUGAUGCAUGGUUUUCUAAUUCCAAUCCUCUCUGUUAUAGGUGCUUGUUUAUGAUAGAACUCUGGUAAAAAAAGUGAUCGCUCCUUAUCUAGUUCACCAACCCUAUGGUUUUGUUGUUCUUGAGAUACCUUUAAUAUGGUGGCUAUAAUUUAAGACUUCUAUUUGUUUUUUUCUA
Long non-coding RNA from Diospyros lotus (date-plum), 1033 nucleotides. RefSeq lists it as uncharacterized. NCBI's taxonomy places the organism in Eukaryota, Viridiplantae, Streptophyta, Magnoliopsida, Ericales, Ebenaceae. The record is from RefSeq and is a predicted model, not a curated record. The transcript is spliced from 2 exons.